AUGCAUGUCUUUGACGUACUAUGUACUGAAAGAUGGACUGCUCAGUAAUACUCACUUUAUUUGAUGUACCUUAUACAUAACUACGUUAAAGUGUAGCUAACAUAUGUACAGUAAGAGUGAGACCUAUCAGCUAGUUGUUAAGGUAAUGGCUUAACAAGGCAAUAACGGGUAACGGUAUUACUUUGUAAUAUUCCGGAGAAGGAGCCUGAGAGACGGCUACUAAGUCUAAGGAUUGCAGCAGGGGCGAAACUUGACCUAUGGAUAUUAUCUGAGGCAGUUAUGGGAAGUAACAUAGUUGUUUCACAUUUUAAACGUAUGUGAGCAGAUUAAUUGGAGGGCAAAUCGAGUGCCAGCAGCCGCGGUAAUACUUGUUCCAAGAGUGUGUAUGAUGAUUGAUGCAGUUAAAAAGUCCGUAGUUUAUUGUUAAGAAGCAAUAU
Molecule: ribosomal RNA, 437 nt
Filed under: Vairimorpha apis
Lineage: Eukaryota; Fungi; Microsporidia; Nosematidae
Description: SSU rRNA
Rfam family: Microsporidia small subunit ribosomal RNA
Source: RNAcentral